GAUGAACGCUGGCGGCGUGCUUAACACAUGCAAGUCGAACGAUGAAGCCCAGCUUGCUGGGUGGAUUAGUGGCGAACGGGUGAGUAACACGUGAGUAACCUGCCCUUAACUCUGGGAUAAGCCUGGGAAACUAGGUCUAAUACCGGAUAGGAGCGCCUACCGCAUGGUGGGUGUUGGAAAGAUUUAUCGGUUUUGGAUGGACUCGCGGCCUAUCAGCUUGUUGGUGAGGUAAUGGCUCACCAAGGCGACGACGGGUAGCCGGCCUGAGAGGGUGACCGGCCACACUGGGACUGAGAAACGGCCCAGACUCCUACGGGAGGCAGCAGUGGGGAAUAUUGCACAAUGGGCGCAAGCCUGAUGCAGCGACGCCGCGUGAGGGAUGACGGCCUUCGGGUUGUAAACCUCUUUCAGUAGGGAAGAAGCGAAAGUGACGGUACCUGCAGAAGAAGCACCGGCUAACUACGUG
Molecule: ribosomal RNA, 466 nt
Filed under: uncultured bacterium
Lineage: Bacteria
Description: partial 16S ribosomal RNA
Rfam family: Bacterial small subunit ribosomal RNA
Source: RNAcentral